Molecule: non-coding RNA, 109 nt
Organism: Acanthosepion pharaonis
Lineage: Eukaryota; Metazoa; Mollusca; Cephalopoda; Sepiida; Sepiidae
Source: the annotation of a GenBank genome assembly
GACCACAUCACUUUAAAACACUGGUUCAUGUACGAUUACCGAAGUUAAGCAAUGUCGAGCCUAGUCAGUACUUAGAAGAGUGACAACUUGAGAAUUCCAUGUGUUGUAA